GACGAACGCUGGCGGCGUGCUUAACACAUGCAAGUCGAACGGAAAGGCCCUGCUUUUGUGGGGUGCUCGAGUGGCGAACGGGUGAGUAACACGUGAGUAACCUGCCCUUGACUUUGGGAUAACUUCAGGAAACUGGGGCUAAUACCGGAUAGGAGCUCCUGCUGCAUGGUGGGGGUUGGAAAGUUUCGGCGGUUGGGGAUGGACUCGCGGCUUAUCAGCUUGUUGGUGGGGUAGUGGCUUACCAAGGCUUUGACGGGUAGCCGGCCUGAGGGGGUGACCGGCCACAUUGGGACUGAGAUACGGCCCAGACUCCUACGGGAGGCAGCAGUGGGGAAUAUUGCACAAUGAGCGGAAGCCUGAUGCAGCAACGCCGCGUGCGGGAUGACGGCCUUCGGGUUGUAGACCGCUUUCGCCUGUGACGAAGCGUGAGUGGCGGUAAUGGGUAAAGAAGCACCGGCGAACUACGUG
This 468-nucleotide ribosomal RNA is filed under the name uncultured bacterium. RNAcentral's name for it is "partial 16S ribosomal RNA". It matches the Rfam family "Bacterial small subunit ribosomal RNA", at positions 28 to 507 of the family's 1533-position model. The record is from RNAcentral.